Molecule: ribosomal RNA, 403 nt
Filed under: uncultured bacterium
Lineage: Bacteria
Description: partial 16S ribosomal RNA
Rfam family: Bacterial small subunit ribosomal RNA
Source: RNAcentral
GACGAACGCUGGCGGCGUGCCUAAUACAUGCAAGUCGAACGCAGUGGGGACGGGUGAGUAACAUGUGGGUAACCUCCCAUCAGAGGGGAAAACAUUUGGAAACAGGCGCUAAACCGAUAUGGUUGGAUGGUACGGCGGGUCAUUGUCCAGCUGGGGAGGGAACGGCUCACCAAGGCCACGAUGCAUAGCGGGCCUGAGAGGGUGAUCAGCCAAACUGGGACUGAGACACGGCCCAGACUCCUACGGGAGGCAGCAGUGGGGAAUCUUCGGCAAUGGGCGAAAGUCUGACGGAGCAACGCCGCGUGAGUGAAGAAGGUUUUCGGAUCGUAAAGCUCUGUUGUUAGAGAGGCGGUAUCUAACCAGGAAGCCACGGCUAACUACGUGCCAGCAGCCGCGGUAAUAC